UCGAAGUCUUCUCAUUUCUUUAAGCUGUCUUCAGGAAUAGUUCUCCUUUCAAAGCUCUUGUCUUGAUGUAUGCUGAGUCAACCAGGUAAGGAAAUCCCAAAAAGUUCAUUUUGUUCAUCUGGACAUAGCAUUUCAUCACCCAUCCAAGUGAUAAAUCAACUUUUUGGAUCUUUUGUUCUAUUUUCUGUCAAGAUGAUCUCACACUGCUUCAGUAAUUUUGAAGUCUGUGCUCUGGGGACGCCUAUCCAUGGCUGGCGGUGUUCCAUUGUGUGUUUUUCUGUCCAGAUGGCUGUAGACGCUCGUUGUGGCACCGGUCUCCUGCUCCUCCUCCAAACAUAGUGACAAUGAUUUGAACAGAAAAUUUCACAUUUGAAUUGAUCUCUCGACAGCAUCUUGACAGCCACUGGAGAUGGGUCAGUUGAAGGGCCAGAUACAUCUUUCAGGUCCUGUUUCAGGUUUUUGCUGGAUUUUUUUUCUUUUUCUGAAAGUCAUGGCUUUCACAAAGUAACUAUCUACUGUAGUUACUUUUUUUUAGACCUGACUUCUUGGUUUGUUUUUUUUUUACUUUACU
Long non-coding RNA from Haplochromis burtoni (Burton's mouthbrooder), 571 nucleotides. RefSeq lists it as uncharacterized. The transcript is spliced from 3 exons. Lineage: Eukaryota; Metazoa; Chordata; Actinopteri; Cichliformes; Cichlidae. The record is from RefSeq and is a predicted model, not a curated record.